Molecule: non-coding RNA, 118 nt
Organism: Candidatus Entotheonella sp.
Lineage: Bacteria; Pseudomonadati; Candidatus Tectimicrobiota; Candidatus Entotheonellia; Candidatus Entotheonellales; Candidatus Entotheonellaceae
Source: Rfam
GAGGGAAGGCCCCUCGCAGUCGGUCUGCGGAGGCAGGCUGCAAACCACCGUAAGCGGCUUGGGUUAAGAGCCCCGGUCGUGAGCGUUACGGAAAAGGCACGGCUCGACCGUGUCAGGU